RNAcentral lists this transfer RNA (75 nucleotides) under Elusimicrobiota bacterium. RNAcentral's name for it is "Elusimicrobia bacterium (groundwater metagenome) tRNA-Glu". It matches the Rfam family "tRNA". From Rfam's summary of the family: Transfer RNA (tRNA) molecules are approximately 80 nucleotides in length. Their secondary structure includes four short double-helical elements and three loops (D, anti-codon, and T loops). Further hydrogen bonds mediate the characteristic L-shaped molecular structure. tRNAs have two regions of fundamental functional importance: the anti-codon, which is responsible for specific mRNA codon recognition, and the 3' end, to which the tRNAs corresponding amino acid is attached (by aminoacyl-tRNA synthetases). tRNAs cope with the degeneracy of the genetic code in two manners: having more than one tRNA (with a specific anti-codon) for a particular amino acid; and 'wobble' base-pairing, i.e. permitting non-standard base-pairing at the 3rd anti-codon position. The record is from RNAcentral. Lineage: Bacteria; Pseudomonadati; Elusimicrobiota.
GCCUCCUUCGUCUAACGGUUAGGACGCCGCCCUUUCAAGGCGGUAACAGGGGUUCGAUUCCCCUAGGAGGCGCCA